GUGCAAAGGUAGCGUAAUCACUUGUCUUUUAAAUGAAGACCCGUAUGAAUGGCAUCACGAGGGCUUAGCUGUCUCCCUUUUCCAGUCAAUGAAAUUGACCUCCCCGUGCAGAGGCGGGGAUAAACACAUAAGACGAGAAGACCCUGUGGAGCUUUAGACCUAAAAUAAGCUACGUUUAACAGCCUGUAAAAUCAGAAAUAACUUAGUAGUUUUUAUUGAAGUGUCUUUGGUUGGGGCGACCGAGGGGUAAAACACAACCCCCAUGUGGACCGGGGAUACUAUCCCUAGUACCAAGGGCCUCCCCCCCAAGUAACAGAACUUCUGACCUUAUGAUCCGGCACAGCCGAUUAACGAACCGAGUUACCCCAGGGAUAACAGCGCAAUCCCCUCUAAGAGCCCAUAUCGACGAGGGGGUUUACGACCUCGA
This 427-nucleotide ribosomal RNA is filed under the name Muraenolepis marmorata (marbled moray cod). Its description in RNAcentral is "partial 16S ribosomal RNA". It matches the Rfam family "Bacterial large subunit ribosomal RNA", at positions 1948 to 2529 of the family's 2925-position model. The record is from RNAcentral. Lineage: Eukaryota; Metazoa; Chordata; Actinopteri; Gadiformes; Muraenolepididae.